RNAcentral lists this non-coding RNA (23 nucleotides) under Arabidopsis thaliana (thale cress). The record is from RNAcentral. Lineage: Eukaryota; Viridiplantae; Streptophyta; Magnoliopsida; Brassicales; Brassicaceae.
UUGCGUAUGCCGUGUAUUACAGA